GAUGAACGCUGGCGGCGUGCUUAACACAUGCAAGUCGAACGGGAUCCAAGGGGUGCUUGCACUUUUUGGUGAGAGUGGCGAACGGGUGAGUAACACGUGAGUAACCUGUCCUUUUCUUUGGGAUAAGCAUUCGAAAGGGUGUUUAAUACCUUAUGUUCUGUCUGCCUCGCAUGGGGUGGGUGGGAAAGGCUUUGGCCGGAUUUGGGUGGGCUCGCGGUCUAUCAGCUUGUUGGUGGGGUGAUGGCUUACCAAGGCUUUGACGGGUAGCCGGCCUGAGAGGGUGGUCGGUCACAUUGGGACUGAGAUACGGCCCAGACUCCUGCGGGAGGCAGCAGUGGGGGAUAUUGCACAAUGGGCGAAAGCCUGAUGCAGCGACGCCGCGUGGGGGAUGGAGGCCUUCGGGUUGUAAGCUUCUUUUGCUCUGAACAAGGCAUGCCAGUGGGUGUGUUGAGUGUAGGGGUUGAUUAGCGCCGGCUAACUACGUG
This 485-nucleotide ribosomal RNA is filed under the name uncultured bacterium. Its description in RNAcentral is "partial 16S ribosomal RNA". It matches the Rfam family "Bacterial small subunit ribosomal RNA", at positions 28 to 507 of the family's 1533-position model. The record is from RNAcentral.